Molecule: ribosomal RNA, 863 nt
Filed under: uncultured Curvibacter sp.
Lineage: Bacteria; Pseudomonadati; Pseudomonadota; Betaproteobacteria; Burkholderiales; Comamonadaceae
Description: bacterial SSU rRNA
Rfam family: Bacterial small subunit ribosomal RNA
Source: RNAcentral
CAUGCAAGUCGAACGGUAGAGGGGGCAACCCCUCGAGAGUGGCGAACGGGUGAGUAAUAUAUCGGAACGUGCCCAGUCGUGGGGGAUAACGUAGCGAAAGUUACGCUAAUACCGCAUACGAUCUAAGGAUGAAAGCGGGGGAUCGCAAGACCUCGCGCGAUUGGAGCGGCCGAUAUCAGAUUAGGUAGUUGGUGGGGUAAAGGCUCACCAAGCCAACGAUCUGUAGCUGGUCUGAGAGGACGACCAGCCACACUGGAACUGAGACACGGUCCAGACUCCUACGGGAGGCAGCAGUGGGGAAUUUUGGACAAUGGGCGCAAGCCUGAUCCAGCCAUUCCGCGUGCGGGACGAAGGCCUUCGGGUUGUAAACUGCUUUUGUACGGAACGAAAAAGCCUUGGCUAAUACCCAGGGUCCAUGACGGUACCGUAAGAAUAAGCACCGGCUAACUACGUGCCAGCAGCCGCGGUAAUACGUAGGGUGCAAGCGUUAAUCGGAAUUACUGGGCGUAAAGCGUGCGCAGGCGGUUAUAUAAGACAAAUGUGAAAUCCCCGGGCUCAACCUGGGAACCGCAUAUGUGACUGUAUAGCUAGAGUGCGGCAGAGGGGGAUGGAAUUCCGCGUGUAGCAGUGAAAUGCGUAGAUAUGCGGAGGAACACCGAUGGCGAAGGCAAUCCCCUGGGCCUGCACUGACGCUCAUGCACGAAAGCGUGGGGAGCAAACAGGAUUAGAUACCCUGGUAGUCCACGCCCUAAACGAUGUCAACUGGUUGUUGGGUCUUCACUGACUCAGUAACGAAGCUAACGCGUGAAGUUGACNCGCCUGGGGAGUACGGCCGCAAGGUUGAAACUCAAAUGAAUUGACGG